GACGAACGCUGGCGGCGUGCUUAACACAUGCAAGUCGAACGAUGACGACCGAGCUUGCUCGGUCUGAUUAGUGGCGAACGGGUGAGUAACACGUGAGCAACCUGCCCUUCACUCUGGGAUAACCUCGGGAAAUCGGGGCUAAUACCGGAUAUGAGCUCCUGUCGCAUGGCGGGUGUUGGAAAGUUUUUCGGUGAAGGAUGGGCUCGCGGCCUAUCAGUUUGUUGGUGAGGUAGUGGCUCACCAAGGCGAUGACGGGUAGCCGGCCUGAGAGGGCGACCGGCCACACUGGGACUGAGACACGGCCCGGACUCCUACGGGAGGCAGCAGUGGGGAAUAUUGCACAAUGGGCGAAAGCCUGAUGCAGCGACGCCGCGUGAGGGAUGACGGCCUUCGGGUUGUAAACCUCUUUCAGCAGGGAAGAAGCGAAAGUGACGGUACCUGCAGAAGAGGCGCCGGCUAACUACGUG
RNAcentral lists this ribosomal RNA (467 nucleotides) under uncultured bacterium. RNAcentral describes it as "partial 16S ribosomal RNA". It matches the Rfam family "Bacterial small subunit ribosomal RNA", at positions 28 to 507 of the family's 1533-position model. The record is from RNAcentral.